UACGGAGGGGGGCUAGCGUUGUUCGGAAUUACUGGGCGUAAAGCGCGCGUAGGCGGACCUGCAAGUCGGGGGUGAAAGCCCGAGGCUCAACCUCGGAACUGCCUUCGAUACUGCGGGUCUCGAGUCCGGGAGAGGUGAGUGGAAUUCCUAGUGUAGCGGUGAAAUGCGCAGAUAUCAGGAAGAACACCAAUGGCGAAGGCAGCUCUCUGGGACGGUACUGACGCUGAGACGCGAAAGCGUGGGGAGCGAACAGG
RNAcentral lists this ribosomal RNA (254 nucleotides) under uncultured bacterium. Its description in RNAcentral is "partial 16S ribosomal RNA". It matches the Rfam family "Bacterial small subunit ribosomal RNA", at positions 524 to 776 of the family's 1533-position model. The record is from RNAcentral.